RNAcentral lists this long non-coding RNA (907 nucleotides) under Elaeis guineensis (African oil palm). RNAcentral describes it as "long non-coding RNA (EGUI_LNC017840)". The record is from RNAcentral. Lineage: Eukaryota; Viridiplantae; Streptophyta; Magnoliopsida; Arecales; Arecaceae.
CACAUAUAUCUUAAUUUUUCAUGAGAGUUACUAGAGAUAGCCUACAUCUCAUAUCUGCGGCCAUGUAUAGAUACUCUCGUGUAGGUGAGCACCUCCAGAGAUAUGUACAAUAUCACAUCUCAUGGAAAAUACUAUCUCGGAUCUUAUUUAGAGUUGAAACUCUUUCUAACAACUACAUAGGAGCACUAAUCAUCAUAGGGAUAAAAUGAAGUCUAUGACUCUUAUACCAAAUAAACCACAUGUGCUUCCUGACCAACUAAUUAGCUUGUUAUUACCAUAUUGAAUCUCUUUCAAGGGAUCUCCUAUUACAGAGAUUGAAUUCUCACUAUUAGAAGAUUCUUUAUAGGCUAAGCCCCAUUUCCCUCGAUCACUCUAGAAUCUUAGUCCUAUUUAAGCUUUUUGUAAUAUAGACUAGCUACGAAAAUCUUCCCCUCACAAUAUCUUAUGAACUUAUGUCCUAUAAAUGUUCAGUCAUAUCAUCAGAGUAAAAGAAAUCAAAGAUAUUUCUUUAUCACAGAAUGCUAUUCAUCAUUUCUUAAAAGAUAAGAUAUCAAUGAAAAAAAAAAUAUGCAUUAAAACUCUAGCAUGUCCCAUUUAUGCAACAAAUCAUUCAUAUUGAUUUAUGUAGACAUAUCAACAUAUGUAUUAAUCAUAAAUAUUAACAUAUUUAUUAGGCAAAGCCCAAUUCUUUACAUUUCAAAACAAUUUUUCUUGUAAUCCUGCAUUUUAAUGUUUGCAUGUCUUUGUUGCUAAAAUGGUUAUAUCAUCUAUUUUCCUUAAUUGAGACUAACAAUGAAUUAAUGGCUAAUAUAUAUAUAUAAUUACCUAAUUAUUUUAUAGGAACUAAUAGUCAAAGCCUUUCCUUGACUGGCCACUGAUAAAGCACAACAUACACUACCACUGGAAC